This 510-nucleotide ribosomal RNA is filed under the name uncultured bacterium. RNAcentral describes it as "partial 16S ribosomal RNA". It matches the Rfam family "Bacterial small subunit ribosomal RNA", at positions 28 to 507 of the family's 1533-position model. The record is from RNAcentral.
GACGAACGCUGGCGGCGUGCUUAACACAUGCAAGUCGAACGAAGAGCGAUGGAAGCUUGCUUCUAUCAAUCUUAGUGGCGAACGGGUGAGUAACGCGUAAUCAACCUGCCCUUCAGAGGGGGACAACAGUUGGAAACGACUGCUAAUACCGCAUACGAUCUAAUCUCGGCAUCGAGGAUAGAUGAAAGGUGGCCCCUACAUGUAAGCUAUCACUGAAGGAGGGGAUUGCGUCUGAUUAGCUAGUUGGAGGGGUAACGGCCCACCAAGGCGAUGAUCAGUAGCCGGUCUGAGAGGAUGAACGGCCACAUUGGGACUGGGACACGGCCCAGACUCCUACGGGAGGCAGCAGUGGGGAAUCUUCCGCAAUGGACGAAAGUCUGACGGAGCAACGCCGCGUGAGUGAUGACGGCCUUCGGGUUGUAAAGCUCUGUUAAUCGGGACGAAAGGCCUUCUUGCGAAUAGGGAGAAGGAUUGACGGUACCGGAAUAGAAAGCCACGGCUAACUACGUG